This 76-nucleotide transfer RNA is filed under the name Tissierella sp. Yu-01. Its description in RNAcentral is "tRNA-Lys". It matches the Rfam family "tRNA". Rfam says of the family: Transfer RNA (tRNA) molecules are approximately 80 nucleotides in length. Their secondary structure includes four short double-helical elements and three loops (D, anti-codon, and T loops). Lineage: Bacteria; Bacillati; Bacillota; Tissierellia; Tissierellales; Tissierellaceae. The record is from RNAcentral.
GUGCCUUUAGCUCAGUUGGCAGAGCACCUGACUCUUAAUCAGGGUGUCCGGGGUUCGAACCCCCGAAGGCGCACCA